GCGAGAAUGGCGGAAUUGGCAGACGCGCAAGACUAAGGAUCUUGUAGAGAAUAUUCUCUGUGAGGGUUCGAGUCCCUUUUCUCGCA
Molecule: non-coding RNA, 86 nt
Organism: Vagococcus fluvialis bH819
Lineage: Bacteria; Bacillati; Bacillota; Bacilli; Lactobacillales; Enterococcaceae
Source: Rfam